Coffea eugenioides is the source of this 230-nucleotide long non-coding RNA. RefSeq lists it as uncharacterized. NCBI's taxonomy places the organism in Eukaryota, Viridiplantae, Streptophyta, Magnoliopsida, Gentianales, Rubiaceae. The transcript has 3 exons. The record is from RefSeq and is a predicted model, not a curated record.
UCUGGAGUACACUGCCUCUGGGUGUGUGGCUCAAGCUGCCAAUAACAAAAUCUGAAUUUGUUCCUAUAGCAGUAAAGGAAGGGUUUCAGUACCACCAUGCAGAAAGCGAAUAUGUCAUGAUGACAUAUUGGAUUCCUGAAGAACCUUGCUUGCUCCCAUCUAAUGCCUCCCAUCAAGUUGGAGUUGGGAGUUUUGUGAUAAACGAAAACAAUGAGGUGCUAGUAGUACAG